GAUGAACGCUGGCGGCGUACCUAAUACAUGCAAGUCGAGCGAACAGACGAGGAGCUUGCUCCUUCGACGUUAGCGGCGGACGGGUGAGUAACACGUAGGUAACCUACCUAUAAGACUGGGAUAACUUCGGGAAACCGGAGCUAAUACCGGAUAAUAUUUCGAACCGCAUGGUUCGAUAGUGAAAGAUGGCUUUGCUAUCACUUAUAGAUGGACCUGCGCCGUAUUAGCUAGUUGGUAAGGUAACGGCCUACCAAGGCAACGAUACGUAGCCGACCUGAGAGGGUGAUCGGCCACACUGGAACUGAGACACGGUCCAGACUCCUACGGGAGGCAGCAGUAGGGAAUAUUCCGCAAUGGGCGAAAGCCUGACGGAGCAACGCCGCGUGAGUGAUGAAGGUCUUCGGAUCGUAAAACUCUGUUAUUAGGGAAGAACAAACGUGUAAGUAACUGUGCACGUCUUGACGGUACCUAAUCAGAAAGCCACGGCUAACUACGUG
RNAcentral lists this ribosomal RNA (497 nucleotides) under uncultured bacterium. RNAcentral describes it as "partial 16S ribosomal RNA". It matches the Rfam family "Bacterial small subunit ribosomal RNA", at positions 28 to 507 of the family's 1533-position model. The record is from RNAcentral.